This 444-nucleotide ribosomal RNA is filed under the name uncultured bacterium. Its description in RNAcentral is "bacterial SSU rRNA". It matches the Rfam family "Bacterial small subunit ribosomal RNA", at positions 354 to 796 of the family's 1533-position model. The record is from RNAcentral.
GUGAGGAAUAUUGGUCAAUGGUCGGAAGACUGAACCAGCCAUGCCGCGUGAAGGUCAGUGCCCUAUGGGCGUUAAACUUCUUUUGUGUGAGAGCAAUAAGGACCUCGUGAGGUCCGAUGAGAGUAUCACACGAAUAAGCAUCGGCUAACUCCGUGCCAGCAGCCGCGGUAAUACGGGGGAUGCGAGCGUUAUCCGGAUUUAUUGGGUUUAAAGGGUGCGUAGGCGGCCUGUUAAGUCAGCGGUGAAAUAUCCUCGCUCAACGAGGAGACUGCCGUUGAUACUGGUGGGCUUGAAUGCGGAUGCCGUUGGAGGAAUGUGUGGUGUAGCGGUGAAAUGCAUAGAUAUCACACAGAACACCGAUUGCGAAGGCAUCUGACGAAUCCGCGAUUGACGCUGAUGCACGAAAGCGUGGGUAUCAAACAGGAUUAGAAACCCUAGUAGUCC